RNAcentral lists this ribosomal RNA (468 nucleotides) under uncultured bacterium. RNAcentral's name for it is "partial 16S ribosomal RNA". It matches the Rfam family "Bacterial small subunit ribosomal RNA", at positions 28 to 507 of the family's 1533-position model. The record is from RNAcentral.
GACGAACGCUGGCGGCGUGCUUAACACAUGCAAGUCGAACGGUAAGGCCCUGCUCUUGUGGGGUGCUCGAGUGGCGAACGGGUGAGUAACACGUGAGUAACCUGCCCUUGACUUUGGGAUAACUUCAGGAAACUGGGGCUAAUACCGGAUUGGAUCUCCUUCUGCAUGGUGGGGGUUGGAAAGUUUCGGCGGUUGGGGAUGGACUCGCGGCUUAUCAGCUUGUUGGUGGGGUAGUGGCUUACCAAGGCUUUGACGGGUAGCCGGCCUGAGAGGGUGACCGGCCACAUUGGGACUGAGAUACGGCCCAGACUCCUACGGGAGGCAGCAGUGGGGAAUAUUGCACAAUGGGCGGAAGCCUGAUGCAGCAACGCCGCGUGCGGGAUGACGGCCUUCGGGUUGUAAACCGCUUUCGCCUGUGACGAAGCGUGAGUGACGGUAAUGGGUAAAGAAGCACCGGCUAACUACGUG